UACGGAGGGUGCAAGCGUUGUUCGGAAUUACUGGGCGUAAAGGGCGCGUAGGCGGCACUGUUAGUCAGGCGUGAAAGUCCUGGGCUCAACCUGGGAACUGCGCUUGAUACGGCAGAGCUAGAGGAUGGAAGAGGGUCGCGGAAUUCCCAGUGUAGAGGUGAAAUGCGUAGAUAUCGAGAGGAACACCUGCGGCGAAGGCGGGUUGCUGGGCUGAUACUGACGCUGAGGCGCGAAAGCCAGGGAGCGAACGGG
This 252-nucleotide ribosomal RNA is filed under the name uncultured bacterium. RNAcentral's name for it is "partial 16S ribosomal RNA". It matches the Rfam family "Bacterial small subunit ribosomal RNA", at positions 524 to 776 of the family's 1533-position model. The record is from RNAcentral.